AGACAGGAAUUCCUGGUGUAGCGGUGAAAUGCGCAGAUAUCAGGAGGAACACCGAUGGCGAAGGCAGGUCUCUGGGCUGUUACUGACGCUGAGGAGCGAAAGCAUGGGGAGCGAACAGGAUUAGAUACCCUGGUAGUCCAUGCCGUAAACGUUGGGCACUAGGUGUGGGGAACAUUUCCACGUUUUCCGCGCCGUAGCUAACGCAUUAAGUGCCCCGCCUGGGGAGUACGGCCGCAAGGCUAAAACUCAAAGGAAUUGACGGGGGCCCGCACAAGCGGCGGAGCAUGCGGAUUAAUUCGAUGCAACGCGAAGAACCUUACCAAGGCUUGACAUGCACUAGAUCGCCCUAGAGAUAGGGUUUCCCUCGGGGCUGGUGUACAGGUGGUGCAUGGUUGUCGUCAGCUCGUGUCGUGAGAUGUUGGGUUAAGUCCCGCAACGAGCGGAACCCCUAUUCUAUGUUGCCAGCAAUUCGGUUGGGGACUCAUGGAAGACUGCCGGGGUCAACUCGGAGGAAGGUGGGGACGACGUCAAAUCAUCAUGCCCCUUAUGUCUUGGGCUUCACGCAUGCUACAAUGGCCGGCACAAUGGGUUGCGAGACUGUGAGGUUGAGCUAAUCCCAUAAAACCGGUCUCAGUUCGGAUUGGGGUCUGCAACUCGACCCCAUGAAGUCGGAGUCGCUAGUAAUCGCAGAUCAGCAACGCUGCGGUGAAUACGUUCCCGGGCCUUGUACACACCGCCCGUCAAGUCACGAAAGUUGGUAACACCCGAAGCCGGUGGCCUAACCCUUUUGGGGAGGAGCCGUCGAAGGUGGGACCGGUGAUUGGGACUAAGUCGUAACAAGGUAACCGU
RNAcentral lists this ribosomal RNA (849 nucleotides) under bacterium enrichment culture clone PW54.10B. RNAcentral describes it as "bacterial SSU rRNA". It matches the Rfam family "Bacterial small subunit ribosomal RNA", at positions 658 to 1503 of the family's 1533-position model. The record is from RNAcentral.